UGAACUAAAUAAAUAUGAAUGAAUUAUUUCUCAGGGUUUUGAAGUACAAUUACAUUUGGGUGUUACCUAUACUCUAGUAUCGUUGGUGUUCUACUAUUCUUUCUCAGUGAAUUCUGUGGUGAGGAUUAGAUGUUAGGGGAGGGGAAAAAAGGGGAUCAGUGCCUGUGGGCAGUGAAAUCUAAUUACAGUGUGAAAAGUUGGCUGUGUCUGUUGUUGCUCCGCUCUCCAGGUGCUAGCUUCUGCCAUAAUGCAGUGUCAUGAUCUGGUUUGUGCUUGGUGAGCCGGGGGCCGGCAAAACCGCUGCAGCCUCAGCCGGCACUGGCCGCCAAAUGGUGUCACGGACCUGCUGCAGGGUCAUCGUCGGUUGAAGGCGCUGCCCGCGACAGGUAAUCUCUAACUGCAUUUCACAGAGAAUGUUAAUGAGGUUUGACUCGUGAGCAUUCUUACUAUCAUUAUGAUUGCUGAAGCAAAGAUUAUGAUAUGACAACCACACAAUAUAUUUAUUAUUAUCUAUGUAUGAGCAAAAUACUGAAAUACACCACCAUUUUCUUUUUGUUCUAGUGGCAUGUAGUUUAUUGAUCAAAUAAAUAUUACCAGUUCACGAGUUAAUAUUAGAUGCUGAAUCUGGACAUAUGAUGGAACAAUACAUCUAAAUCUUUUUAAGCAAAAGUGUGUGCUGCGUCUUAGUUUUUCACCAGAUUAUUUGCAAAGCUAACCUCACUUUCGGUACCUUCUUUUGUUGUAAAUUGUAAUAAAUGACAGUAUCGAGUUUUCAUAUUUGAAUGAGAAUGGUGCCGUUUUUCUUGUCCUUGCUAUUGAAUGAAGGUACUCUAUUAGUGCUUAUCAUGGUUAUUGUCGUAAAAAUAGAACUGUAUAAUUUGAUUAACAUUUACAUGUCUUAAGUAUCAAAAUAGAAAAUUUCCAACUGGUCUGCAGCAAUCCAUACCGUACAUUACUACAUUACCAUAACAUCUACAUCUACAAUUUGGAAAUUGGUACUGCACCUUUUUCUCUAGGAAUUUUUGUAAUUAAGUUCUAAUGGGUAGAGGUACAAAUGGUACGGAUAUUUUCUGUUUUGUAUGCAAGUUUGGAUUUGGAUCUAGAGUCUGGAUAUUAGGGUUUGAUGAUCCAGAUUUUUUCUAAAAAUGUUUCGGAUCCAGAUUCUCUCAAGAACGUUUUUAGGAUGCAUCAGAAUCCCUUUGUUAGAUUGGCUGAUAGUAUGGAUUUUAGUUUCUCAAACAUAUAUGUUUUCAAUAAAAAAAAUCUUCUAAUGAGAAUAUGCUUAAAAAUCCAGAACUCUUUGUGUACGAAAGAACAACUUAAAUAUAACAAAUUUUAAUUUGUUGCACUUAAAAUUCUUGGUAAAUCUGCAAGGGAAGUACAAGAGGUG
This 1390-nucleotide long non-coding RNA is filed under the name Sorghum bicolor (sorghum). Its description in RNAcentral is "long non-coding RNA (SBIC_LNC014623)". The record is from RNAcentral. Lineage: Eukaryota; Viridiplantae; Streptophyta; Magnoliopsida; Poales; Poaceae.